Unclassified non-coding RNA from Microcebus murinus (gray mouse lemur), 114 nucleotides. It matches the Rfam family "Y RNA". From Rfam's summary of the family: Y RNAs are components of the Ro ribonucleoprotein particle (Ro RNP), in association with Ro60 and La proteins. The Y RNAs and Ro60 and La proteins are well conserved, but the function of the Ro RNP is not known. NCBI's taxonomy places the organism in Eukaryota, Metazoa, Chordata, Mammalia, Primates, Cheirogaleidae. The record is from Ensembl.
GGCUGGUCCGAACGUAGUGAGUUAUCUCACGUGAUUGUUCACAGUCAGUUACAGAUUGAACUCCUUGUUCUACUACUUUCCCCCCUCCUCACUACUGCACUUGACUAGUCUUAA